CAGUGUUCACAGUAAAACUGUAACUUAAAGCAGGUACAGCCUCAGUGUUCACAGUAAAACUGUAACUUAAAGCAGCUACAGCCUCAGUGUUCAUAGUAAAACUGUAACUUAAAGCAGGUAGAGCCUCAGUGUUCACAGUAAAACUGUAACUUAAAGCAGGUACAGCCUCAGUGUUCACAGUAAAACUGUACCUUAAAGCAGGUACAGCCUCAGUGUUCACAGUAAAACUG
Oncorhynchus keta (chum salmon) is the source of this 230-nucleotide long non-coding RNA. RefSeq lists it as uncharacterized. The record is from RefSeq and is a predicted model, not a curated record. Lineage: Eukaryota; Metazoa; Chordata; Actinopteri; Salmoniformes; Salmonidae. The transcript is spliced from 3 exons.